This 203-nucleotide ribosomal RNA is filed under the name uncultured bacterium. RNAcentral describes it as "partial 16S ribosomal RNA". It matches the Rfam family "Bacterial small subunit ribosomal RNA", at positions 328 to 538 of the family's 1533-position model. The record is from RNAcentral.
ACGCUCGACACCUACGGGAGCAGCAGUUGGGAAUAUUGGACAAUGGAGGAAACUCUGAUCCAGUGACGCCGCGUGAAGGAAGAAGGUCUUCGGAUUGUAAACUUAUUUUGUCAGGGAAGAAAAAUGACUGUACCUGAAGAAAAAGCACCGGCUAACUACGUGCCAGCAGCCGACGGUAAUCUGAGGCGGGCGUGGACGAAGGC